Ceratina calcarata is the source of this 431-nucleotide long non-coding RNA. RefSeq lists it as uncharacterized. Lineage: Eukaryota; Metazoa; Arthropoda; Insecta; Hymenoptera; Apidae. The transcript has 3 exons. The record is from RefSeq and is a predicted model, not a curated record.
AACGCGCCCACGCGUGCAUGCAUGCGCAGCUAAUAACGAAAGUCCACCUGUUGGAAAUACGUCUGUCGUAUGGUAUAUGUCAUGAAAUGGCCGGCUAUCUAGGGGUGCAGUGGAUGAUAUGCACCGGGGCCCCAACAUGUUCAAGAAUUAAAAUAAUAUACAUGCAAACCUGUACAUGAAAUCUUGACAAUAUUCCUAUCGUCAGUAUGACGAAAAGUACAUUUUAUCAUAAUAUAUAUUGUAGAUCUUCAAACUAAUUCUUGAUGGUGCAAGUGUUCAGUUUUUGUUAUUUGAUUCGGAGAACUCCCGAGGAGUAUAGUGCAAGUGUGCAACAUAUAAACAUAAAACCUAAUCAUGUCCAUGCCAAGGAAAUAUCCCUCUGGGUAUCAAGAAAGAAAAUUAACAGAAAAGAGAAAAGAAGACAAGCUUUU